Molecule: transfer RNA, 67 nt
Filed under: Cryptocercus banshanmenensis
Lineage: Eukaryota; Metazoa; Arthropoda; Insecta; Blattodea; Cryptocercidae
Description: tRNA-His
Source: RNAcentral
ACUUAAGUAGUUUAAUUAAAAAUAUUGGCUUGUGGUGUCAUUGAUAUAAAUUUAUUUAUUUUAGGUU